This 82-nucleotide transfer RNA is filed under the name Echinostoma caproni. It matches the Rfam family "tRNA". From Rfam's summary of the family: Transfer RNA (tRNA) molecules are approximately 80 nucleotides in length. Their secondary structure includes four short double-helical elements and three loops (D, anti-codon, and T loops). Further hydrogen bonds mediate the characteristic L-shaped molecular structure. tRNAs have two regions of fundamental functional importance: the anti-codon, which is responsible for specific mRNA codon recognition, and the 3' end, to which the tRNAs corresponding amino acid is attached (by aminoacyl-tRNA synthetases). tRNAs cope with the degeneracy of the genetic code in two manners: having more than one tRNA (with a specific anti-codon) for a particular amino acid; and 'wobble' base-pairing, i.e. permitting non-standard base-pairing at the 3rd anti-codon position. The record is from Rfam by way of RNAcentral. Lineage: Eukaryota; Metazoa; Platyhelminthes; Trematoda; Plagiorchiida; Echinostomatidae.
GGCCUCGUAGCUCAGCUGGUAGAGCGUGCACGUUAAAAGCGUAAGCAACGUGCGUGCGCGGUUUCGAAUCCCUCCGAGGCUA